Molecule: ribosomal RNA, 2919 nt
Filed under: Staphylococcus aureus
Lineage: Bacteria; Bacillati; Bacillota; Bacilli; Caryophanales; Staphylococcaceae
Description: 23S ribosomal RNA
Rfam family: Bacterial large subunit ribosomal RNA
Source: RNAcentral
UUAAGUUAUUAAGGGCGCACGGUGGAUGCCUUGGCACUAGAAGCCGAUGAAGGACGUUACUAACGACGAUAUGCUUUGGGGAGCUGUAAGUAAGCUUUGAUCCAGAGAUUUCCGAAUGGGGAAACCCAGCAUGAGUUAUGUCAUGUUAUCGAUAUGUGAAUACAUAGCAUAUCAGAAGGCACACCCGGAGAACUGAAACAUCUUAGUACCCGGAGGAAGAGAAAGAAAAUUCGAUUCCCUUAGUAGCGGCGAGCGAAACGGGAAGAGCCCAAACCAAAAAGCUUGCUUGUUGGGGUUGUAGGACACUCUAUACGGAGUUACAAAGGACGACAUUAGACGAAUCAUCUGGAAAGAUGAAUCAAAGAAGGUAAUAAUCCUGUAGUCGAAAAUGUUGUCUCUCUUGAGUGGAUCCUGAGUACGACGGAGCACGUGAAAUUCCGUCGGAAUCUGGGAGGACCAUCUCCUAAGGCUAAAUACUCUCUAGUGACCGAUAGUGAACCAGUACCGUGAGGGAAAGGUGAAAAGCACCCCGGAAGGGGAGUGAAAUAGAACCUGAAACCGUGUGCUUACAAGUAGUCAGAGCCCGUUAAUGGGUGAUGGCGUGCCUUUUGUAGAAUGAACCGGCGAGUUACGAUUUGAUGCAAGGUUAAGCAGUAAAUGUGGAGCCGUAGCGAAAGCGAGUCUGAAUAGGGCGUUUAGUAUUUGGUCGUAGACCCGAAACCAGGUGAUCUACCCUUGGUCAGGUUGAAGUUCAGGUAACACUGAAUGGAGGACCGAACCGACUUACGUUGAAAAGUGAGCGGAUGAACUGAGGGUAGCGGAGAAAUUCCAAUCGAACCUGGAGAUAGCUGGUUCUCUCCGAAAUAGCUUUAGGGCUAGCCUCAAGUGAUGAUUAUUGGAGGUAGAGCACUGUUUGGACGAGGGGCCCCUCUCGGGUUACCGAAUUCAGACAAACUCCGAAUGCCAAUUAAUUUAACUUGGGAGUCAGAACAUGGGUGAUAAGGUCCGUGUUCGAAAGGGAAACAGCCCAGACCACCAGCUAAGGUCCCAAAAUAUAUGUUAAGUGGAAAAGGAUGUGGCGUUGCCCAGACAACUAGGAUGUUGGCUUAGAAGCAGCCAUCAUUUAAAGAGUGCGUAAUAGCUCACUAGUCGAGUGACACUGCGCCGAAAAUGUACCGGGGCUAAACAUAUUACCGAAGCUGUGGAUUGUCCUUUGGACAAUGGUAGGAGAGCGUUCUAAGGGCGUUGAAGCAUGAUCGUAAGGACAUGUGGAGCGCUUAGAAGUGAGAAUGCCGGUGUGAGUAGCGAAAGACGGGUGAGAAUCCCGUCCACCGAUUGACUAAGGUUUCCAGAGGAAGGCUCGUCCGCUCUGGGUUAGUCGGGUCCUAAGCUGAGGCCGACAGGCGUAGGCGAUGGAUAACAGGUUGAUAUUCCUGUACCACCUAUAAUCGUUUUAAUCGAUGGGGGGACGCAGUAGGAUAGGCGAAGCGUGCGAUUGGAUUGCACGUCUAAGCAGUAAGGCUGAGUAUUAGGCAAAUCCGGUACUCGUUAAGGCUGAGCUGUGAUGGGGAGAAGACAUUGAGUCUUCGAGUCGUUGAUUUCACACUGCCGAGAAAAGCCUCUAGAUAGAAAAUAGGUGCCCGUACCGCAAACCGACACAGGUAGUCAAGAUGAGAAUUCUAAGGUGAGCGAGCGAACUCUCGUUAAGGAACUCGGCAAAAUGACCCCGUAACUUCGGGAGAAGGGGUGCUCUUUAGGGUUAACGCCCAGAAGAGCCGCAGUGAAUAGGCCCAAGCGACUGUUUAUCAAAAACACAGGUCUCUGCUAAACCGUAAGGUGAUGUAUAGGGGCUGACGCCUGCCCGGUGCUGGAAGGUUAAGAGGAGUGGUUAGCUUCUGCGAAGCUACGAAUCGAAGCCCCAGUAAACGGCGGCCGUAACUAUAACGGUCCUAAGGUAGCGAAAUUCCUUGUCGGGUAAGUUCCGACCCGCACGAAAGGCGUAACGAUUUGGGCACUGUCUCAACGAGAGACUCGGUGAAAUCAUAGUACCUGUGAAGAUGCAGGUUACCCGCGACAGGACGGAAAGACCCCGUGGAGCUUUACUGUAGCCUGAUAUUGAAAUUCGGCACAGCUUGUACAGGAUAGGUAGGAGCCUUUGAAACGUGAGCGCUAGCUUACGUGGAGGCGCUGGUGGGAUACUACCCUAGCUGUGUUGGCUUUCUAACCCGCACCACUUAUCGUGGUGGGAGACAGUGUCAAGCGGGCAGUUUGACUGGGGCGGUCGCCUCCUAAAAGGUAACGGAGGCGCUCAAAGGUUCCCUCAGAAUGGUUGGAAAUCAUUCAUAGAGUGUAAAGGCAUAAGGGAGCUUGACUGCGAGACCUACAAGUCGAGCAGGGUCGAAAGACGGACUUAGUGAUCCGGUGGUUCCGCAUGGAAGGGCCAUCGCUCAACGGAUAAAAGCUACCCCGGGGAUAACAGGCUUAUCUCCCCCAAGAGUUCACAUCGACGGGGAGGUUUGGCACCUCGAUGUCGGCUCAUCGCAUCCUGGGGCUGUAGUCGGUCCCAAGGGUUGGGCUGUUCGCCCAUUAAAGCGGUACGCGAGCUGGGUUCAGAACGUCGUGAGACAGUUCGGUCCCUAUCCGUCGUGGGCGUAGGAAAUUUGAGAGGAGCUGUCCUUAGUACGAGAGGACCGGGAUGGACAUACCUCUGGUGUACCAGUUGUCGUGCCAACGGCAUAGCUGGGUAGCUAUGUGUGGACGGGAUAAGUGCUGAAAGCAUCUAAGCAUGAAGCCCCCCUCAAGAUGAGAUUUCCCAACUUCGGUUAUAAGAUCCCUCAAAGAUGAUGAGGUUAAUAGGUUCGAGGUGGAAGCAUGGUGACAUGUGGAGCUGACGAAUACUAAUCGAUCGAAGACUUAAUC